AACGAACGCUGGCGGCGUGGAUAAGACAUGCAAGUCGAACGAGAGAAUUGCUAGCUUGCUAAUAAUUCUCUAGUGGCGCACGGGUGAGUAACACGUGAGUAACCUGCCCCCGAGAGCGGGAUAGCCCUGGGAAACUGGGAUUAAUACCGCAUAGUAUCGAAAGAUUAAAGCAGCAAUGCGCUUGGGGAUGGGCUCGCGGCCUAUUAGUUAGUUGGUGAGGUAACGGCUCACCAAGGCGAUGACGGGUAGCCGGUCUGAGAGGAUGUCCGGCCACACUGGAACUGAGACACGGUCCAGACACCUACGGGUGGCAGCAGUCGAGAAUCAUUCACAAUGGGGGAAACCCCGAUGGUGCGACGCCGCGUGGGGGAAUGAAGGUCUUCGGAUUGUAAACCCCUGUCAUGUGGGAGCAGAUUAAAAAGAUAGUACCACAAGAGGAAGAGACGGCUAACUCUGUGCCAGCAGCCGCGGUAAUACAGAGGUCUCAAGCGUUGUUCGGAAUCACUGGGCGUAAAGCGUGCGUAGGCUGUUUCGUAAGUCGUGUGUGAAAGGCGCGGGCUCAACCCGCGGACGGCACAUGAUACUGCGAGACUAGAGUAAUGGAGGGGGAACCGGAAUUCUCGGUGUAGCAGUGAAAUGCGUAGAUAUCGAGAGGAACACUCGUGGCGAAGGCGGGUUCCUGGACAUUAACUGACGCUGAGGCACGAAGGCCAGGGGAGCGAAAGGGAUUAGAUACCCCUGUAGUCCUGGCAGUAAACGG
RNAcentral lists this ribosomal RNA (760 nucleotides) under uncultured bacterium. RNAcentral's name for it is "bacterial SSU rRNA". It matches the Rfam family "Bacterial small subunit ribosomal RNA", at positions 28 to 809 of the family's 1533-position model. The record is from RNAcentral.